AGAGGUAAGGUUAAUUUGGCUGUAACAUCCGCCACUCCAUUGAUGACUAAGGUUGAUUUGACUGAUAUUAUUGGCUAUCCAGGAGGUUCCUUCCUCUCUAACCACUCCAUAUGCCCCUCCUGAGCUGUGCACUGGUUUGGAGAGGGUGGCCUUCCCUUGUAGAGGAAGACUCAGUAAAGCAUGUCUGAAUAGCUGCACUCUUUACAAAUAUUCCCUAAUAAACAAUGAGACCUCUACUCCACGCCUUCUCUAACUCAACUUUCAACAUCGCAACUGCUGUCUUCUCCACAAUGUGGACCAAGUAUCAGC
This 309-nucleotide small RNA is filed under the name Microtus ochrogaster (prairie vole). RNAcentral's name for it is "7SK RNA (ENSMOCG00000007970.1)". The stretch from base 1 to 179 matches the Rfam family "7SK RNA". Rfam says of the family: 7SK was discovered as an abundant small nuclear RNA in the mid-70s but a possible function has only recently been suggested. Two independent studies have found that 7SK RNA binds the CDK9/cyclin T complex (known as elongation factor P-TEFb). Lineage: Eukaryota; Metazoa; Chordata; Mammalia; Rodentia; Cricetidae. The record is from RNAcentral.